Molecule: ribosomal RNA, 1479 nt
Filed under: uncultured bacterium
Lineage: Bacteria
Description: bacterial SSU rRNA
Rfam family: Bacterial small subunit ribosomal RNA
Source: RNAcentral
UUGAACGCUGGGCGGCAGGCCUAACACAUGCAAGUCGAGCGGAAACGGCAGUAUUGAAGCUUCGGUGGAUUUACUGGACGUCGAGCGGCGGACGGGUGAGUAACGGCUGGGAACCUGCCCUGACGAGGGGGAUAACCGUUGGAAACGACGGCUAAUACCGCAUAAUGUCUACGGACCAAAGGUGGCCUCUACAUGUAAGCUAUCGCGUUGGGAUGGGCCCAGUUAGGAUUAGCUAGUUGGUAAGGUAAUGGCUUACCAAGGCAACGAUCCUUAGCUGGUUUGAGAGGAUGAUCAGCCACACUGGGACUGAGACACGGCCCAGACUCCUACGGGAGGCAGCAGUGGGGAAUAUUGCACAAUGGGGGAGACCCUGAUGCAGCCAUGCCGCGUGUGUGAAGAAGGCCUUCGGGUUGUAAAGCACUUUCAGCAGUGAGGAAGGUCGUGUACUUAAUACGUGCACGGCUUGACGUUAGCUGCAGAAGAAGCACCGGCUAACUCCGUGCCAGCAGCCGCGGUAAUACGGAGGGUGCGAGCGUUAAUCGGAAUUACUGGGCGUAAAGCGCAUGCAGGCGGUUUGUUAAGUCAGAUGUGAAAGCCCGGGGCUCAACCUCGGAACCGCAUUUGAAACUGGCAGGCUAGAGUCUUGUAGAGGGGGGUAGAAUUUCAGGUGUAGCGGUGAAAUGCGUAGAGAUCUGAAGGAAUACCAGUGGCGAAAGGCGGCCCCCUGGACAAAGACUGACGCUCAGAUGCGAAAGCGUGGGUAGCAAACAGGAUUAGAUACCCUGGUAGUCCACGCCGUAAACGCUGUCUACUUGGAGGUUGAGGUUUUAGACUUUGGCUUUCGGCGCUAACGCAUUAAGUAGACCGCCUGGGGAGUACGGCCGCAAGGUUAAAACUCAAAUGAAUUGACGGGGGCCCGCACAAGCGGUGGAGCAUGUGGUUUAAUUCGAUGCAACGCGAAGAACCUUACCUACUCUUGACAUCCAGCGAAGCCUUUAGAGAUAGAGGUGUGCCUUCGGGAGCGCUGAGACAGGUGCUGCAUGGCUGUCGUCAGCUCGUGUUGUGAAAUGUUGGGUUAAGUCCCGCAACGAGCGCAACCCUUAUCCUUGUUUGCCAGCACGUAAUGGUGGGAACUCCAGGGAGACUGCCGGUGAUAAACCGGAGGAAGGUGGGGACGACGUCAAGUCAUCAUGGCCCUUACGAGUAGGGCUACACACGUGCUACAAUGGCAGAUACAGAGGGCAGCGAGACAGCGAUGUUUAGCGAAUCCCUUAAAGUUUGUCGUAGUCCGGAUUGGAGUCUGCAACUCGACUCCAUGAAGUCGGAAUCGCUAGUAAUCGUGGAUCAGAAUGCCACGGUGAAUACGUUCCCGGGCCUUGUACACACCGCCCGUCACACCAUGGGAGUGGGCUGCACCAGAAGUAGAUAGCUUAACCUUCGGGAGGGCGUUUACCACGGUGUGGUUCAUGACUGGGGUGA